RNAcentral lists this long non-coding RNA (283 nucleotides) under Setaria viridis. Its description in RNAcentral is "long non-coding RNA (SVIR_LNC001306)". Lineage: Eukaryota; Viridiplantae; Streptophyta; Magnoliopsida; Poales; Poaceae. The record is from RNAcentral.
GUCGGAUCAUCUCGACCCGGAUCUUAGGGGUAUACUAGCAGAAAUGUUCGUGCAUUGCUACGGGUUCUUACUUGCUCUCACGUUAUUAUCCGCUUGUUCCUACUAUAUUGGCUUCGCUUCACAAUAUGUUGGUGCGUUGUCCCUAGUAGUCCUCUCUUUAAAAGUAUAGUAGUAGAAGAUAUUUAUGGGUGUUUGAUGUCAUAUGUUUAUUACGUGAGACCCACAUAUGAAAAUAAAAAAAAUCACCGCUUAACCUCAGCUCUAUCGAUUCAUUCGAUCCCCC